Molecule: long non-coding RNA, 583 nt
Filed under: Fukomys damarensis (Damara mole-rat)
Lineage: Eukaryota; Metazoa; Chordata; Mammalia; Rodentia; Bathyergidae
Description: lncRNA (ENSFDAG00000028965.1)
Source: RNAcentral
GUGCCCCUGAGACCUUGCUCCCAUCUUUGUUUUCCUACAGUAGGUUACCAUUUCCUUGCUAAAAGCUGGCACAAGAUCACUGAAAUUUAUUUUCAUUGAUUGCUUAGCUGGCAGAGAUCCAUUUAAAAGGUGAACUAGUCAGGUUACAGUAAUGAAAACACAAAGUUAAGGUGGGUUUUUGAAAUGGAGAAAUACGUACGUAGGUAUUGGAAAUCUGAAAGAGCAAAAAUAACAACAGGCCAUAGCUAUUGGCUUUAGGUUGGGAAAACAAAGGGCAAAAGGUUAUAUUACCAGAACUUCAGAGUACAGAGUAGGGGUCACUACAUAUAGAGUCUGCCAAAAAAAUGUGUACACCUUUUAGGAAAAGAUAAACUUGUAUAAAUAUUCUAAUACUAAGUUUAUUGGAACAUAAGGAUUUUUUUUUUUUUUGGCAGACUCUGGAGUUGUUGUAGAGAUUUAGAAGAAGCAACCAUGAACUUGCUGCUAGGAGUGCUGAAAAAUAGUGGAGCCAUAGCUGUGUGCUGCUACGGAAUGAUGCCUCUUUCCCUUGGACUUUCUCAAAUGUUUCAGUUCUAAAACUGCC